AUUGAACGCUGGCGGCAUGCCUUACGCAUGCAAGUCGAACGGAUUGAAGGGGCUUGCUCCUUCAGUUAGUGGCGAACGGGUGAGUAAAGCAUCGGAACGUACCCAGUCGUGGGGGAUAACGUAGCGAAAGUUACGCUAAUACCGCAUACGAUCUGAGGAUGAAAGCGGGGGAUCGCAAGACCUCGCGCGAUUGGAGCGGCCGAUGUCGGAUUAGCCAGUUGGUGAGGUAAAGGCUCACCAAGGCGACGAUCCGUAGCUGGUCUGAGAGGAUGAUAAGCCACACUGGAACGGAGACACGGUCCAGACUCCUACGGGGGGCAGCAGUGGGGAAUUUUGGACAAUGAGGGAAACCCUGAUCCAGCCAUGCCGCGUGAGUGAAGAAGGCCUUCGGGUUGUAAAGCUCUUUCAGUCGGAAAGAAAAGGCUCCGGAUAAUACCUGGAGUUGAUGACGGUACCGACAGAAGAAGCACCGGCUAACUACGUGCCAGCCGCCGCCGUAA
This 500-nucleotide ribosomal RNA is filed under the name uncultured bacterium. RNAcentral's name for it is "partial 16S ribosomal RNA". It matches the Rfam family "Bacterial small subunit ribosomal RNA", at positions 30 to 523 of the family's 1533-position model. The record is from RNAcentral.